Long non-coding RNA from Gigantopelta aegis, 585 nucleotides. RefSeq lists it as uncharacterized. The record is from RefSeq and is a predicted model, not a curated record. The transcript is spliced from 2 exons. NCBI's taxonomy places the organism in Eukaryota, Metazoa, Mollusca, Gastropoda, Neomphalida, Peltospiridae.
CUGCAUGCAGGCUGUGGGAAAGGUGAACGUCACCUGUCUGUUCAUCAAUGCUUUUGCAAAGAAGGUUUCCAGCAGGCAAGUUGGCUGGGAAAACGGUUCUUAGGAGCCUUUAGGUUUGAGCGUGAGCCAGAACCAUAAGAAUGAUGUGAGCUACGAGAGCUGUGUGGGCUAUGUGAGCUAUAACUGGGUGUGACGGAUGACACAGAUGUAACCAUCAGAACUGUAGGAGAGCCAUCUGCAAGAGAUGUCUACAGACUAGCAUGGUGGCGGACUGUUGUUAGGAUGUCUGCAAGAGAUGUCAGCAGCCAGCCAACCAAGAUGUGCUAGUGUCUGGUCGUAAUCAAGAUAUUGACGGAGUAUUCGCAAUGACAGUGAAUUUCAGAUGAGUUAAUACUGAUACAAACUGAACAGGUUUAAAACGAUUAAUGUACUAAGGCUCGGACAUUGACUAAUUGGUUCCAACUAGUAAACCAUGGACAUUGGAAUACAGUUUUUAUGAGUUUAAUUUAAGGUUGGGGUAGUGUUAUGCUAGAGUCAUAUCAUCAUUUUGUAUAUUCAUGUUUUGUAUAUAAAUUUGUUGUUUGA